CCUACGGGAGGCAGCAGUGGGGGAUAUUGCACAAUGGGGGAAACCCUGAUGCAGCGACGCCGCGUGUGGGAAGACGGUCCUCUGGAUUGUAAACCACUGUCCCCAGGGACGAAGAUGACGGUACCUGGGGAGGAAGCUCCGGCUAACUACGUGCCAGCAGCCGCGGUAAUACGUAGGGAGCGAGCGUUGUCCGGAAUGACUGGGUGUAACGGGAGCGUAGGCGGGACUGCAAGUUGGGUGUCAAAUCUACCGGCUCAACCGGUAGCCGCACUCAAAACUGCAGUUCUUGAGUGAAGUAGAGGCAGGCGGAAUUCCUAGUGUAGCGGUGAAAUGCGUAGAUAUUAGGAGGAACACCAGUGGCGAAGGCGGCCUGCUGGGCUUUUACUGACGCUGAGGCUCGAAAGUGUGGGGAGCAAACAGGAUUAGAUACACGUGUAGUC
RNAcentral lists this ribosomal RNA (440 nucleotides) under uncultured bacterium. RNAcentral describes it as "partial 16S ribosomal RNA". It matches the Rfam family "Bacterial small subunit ribosomal RNA", at positions 338 to 795 of the family's 1533-position model. The record is from RNAcentral.